Long non-coding RNA from Rattus norvegicus (Norway rat), 16532 nucleotides. RefSeq lists it as uncharacterized. The record is from RefSeq and is a predicted model, not a curated record. Lineage: Eukaryota; Metazoa; Chordata; Mammalia; Rodentia; Muridae.
ACUACUACUACUACUACUACUACUACUUCUUCUUCUUCUUCUUCUUCCUCUUCUUCUUCUUCCUCUUCUUCUUCUUCUUCUUCUUCUUCUUCUUCUUCUUCUUCUUCUUCUUCUUCUUCUUCUUCUUCUUCUUCUUCUUCUUCUUCUUCUUCUUCUUCUUCCUCUCCUUCUUCUAAAAAGAUUUUUAUUUUAUUUAUUUCAUGUACGUGAAUACACUGUCACUUUCUUCAGACACACCAGAAGAGGGCACCAGAUCCCAUUACAGAUGGUUGUGAGCCACCAUGUGGUUGCUGGGACUUGAACUCAGGACCUCUGGGAAAGCAGUCAGUGCUCCUAACCACUGAACCACCUCUCCAGCCCCAACCUUGAACUUCUUAUCCUUUUGCUUGCAGAGAUCACCAGAGCACGAUCUCCACACUGGUUUUGUGUGGUACUCGGGGUAGAAUCCAGGCCUCCUGCAUACUGAAGUGCUGAGCUCUGCAGUCUCAACCCGCAGUCCCAGUAUUUAAUGGAAACCUGAGUGCAUCAAAGGCUGAGCAUGUCUCUGCUCCAGGGCUUGGCCAAGAAAGGAAGGAAGCCAUUUCAAACCCAGAGGGACCACCGAACAGGACAUGGCAGCAGGGCAGGAAGAGAAGCAGGUAGGUGGUGUGUCUGUUGGGUUUUGAAUUAUGGAAGACCAGUCUUUCUGGGCCCCAAAGCCUCCUUCCUUCUUGGGUGGCUUCGUGUUUCCAUGCCUUUCUGAUCUGUGAAGGGCUUUUCCUCUUGCAGACAUAUCUAGCCUGAUGUGACUUUCUUAACCGCAGUAGUUAGUGACUGGUUCUGCAUACUGACUGAGCUCACAGAUUUCCUGGGAAUAGGAGUAGGGGAAGGUGAAGAAAGGCAGAGGGAUGGUCAGGAGAAGCUGGACCCAGUGAGGAGGGUGUAGGCCUUGGGGAGGAGGAAGACCCGGUUUAAGGAGUUCUGUAAUAUGUUUGGGCCACCAGAUUGGACCAAAUUGGAGCCCAUAGAGAACCCGGUGAAAGAGGGAGUCAUGGGCUCUGUCCCAGCCUCUGUUACACCAUCCGUGAAUUUGGUACAGGGGGAGACAAUGAUAUGUGAGAUGGGGCCAAGGUGUUAUUCUAUCUCUCAUGUUCUCUGAAGAUGCUUUACCUGGGUAUGGCCUGAGUUCUGUCUUGCUCCCUCUUUUUCGAACUCCAGUUUCCAGGGAAGUAGAAUGGGAGGCCCAGCCAGCAAAAUGUACUGUUUUGGAUGUCAGUAGUGCUAUGCAUAGGAGGAAAAAGCCUUUAUGGCUUUUCUCACAGGAAACUGUUAGAGCUGGAUUUUUCAGGUAUGUAAGACAUUUGUCUACCAAACCUGGAGAGUUGAGUUUGAUCCCAGGAGCCCAUGGGAAAGAUGAAAGGCGAUGGCUGAGUCUAUAACAUUGUACCCUGAACCUGUAGCUCUGCACCCGUGAAGUCAAGCCAAUGUGUAUACCUCUAACGCACAGUGGCCAGAGAGACAUGAGGUGAGUACAGUCGAGAUGGCGAGCUUGGUUGUCAACUUGACAUAGCCAGGAAUAGGGAAGCUAAGCUAAGGGAUUGCCUCAGUCGUAUUGGCUUUGUUGGCAUGUCUGUGGAGGCAUUUUCUUGAUUCUAGUGGUGUGACAUGUGUGCCCUCCAUUGUAAACACACACACACACACACACACACACACACACACACACACACACACACAUUAAAAAUUAAAAAAAAAAAAACAAAAAACCGAAAAAGGGCCUGCAAGGUGGGUUGGUGGGCGAAGGUGAUUGCUACCAAGCUCGAUGACCUGAGUUUAAUCUCUAGGACUCACAAGGUGGAAAGAGAAAAUCAACCUUGCAAGUUGUCCUUUGACCUCCACACAUGCACUGUGGCAUGUCCUCCAGUAAACUUACUCAAAAGCUCUCAAAACAAAAGAAAACAAAAAAAGAAUCAACUCAGGAAACUAGUAGAGCUUUCUUUCUGGUGAGAAUCCACCAUGACCUUACAGUGUCCAAUGCGUAACAACUUUUGUUUUGAAACAGGGACCCAGAGAGCCUUGAACUUCAUAUGCAGCAAAGGCUGGCCUGGGCUUUCUGAUGAUCAUCCUGUUUCUCUCUCCCCUGUGUUUGAUCGUGGGCGUGGGAUACCAGGCCCUCCUUUCUGCAGGCUCUUUUUGAUGUGAAGUGUUUCACUUGGUCUGGCUGCUGAGGAUCAUGCUUGGGUCACCCCCGACUAGGUACAGAGAAACCCUCUGGCUCUGACACAGGAGAGCUUUAGGCCUGAAUUCCUCCCUUCAAGGGCUUCCUUCCCAGGCCUCCGCCUUUCCUGGAUGCUUCCCACCUCUGGGUUGUUUCCCUGCUCUCCUCAGGGUGCUCUUUUUUUGUGUGUGUCUGGCUUCCUGUGGCCUCCUUGUUUAGCUUCAUUGAAGACUCAGACUUCAGUCUUGAUGAUCCUUCCUUGAGGCUCUUCAGUGACCCGAGGGCCAUUAUUUGAGGUCUUCUGGCAGAAUUCAGUAUGGUAGUCACCCUCAAAACCAGAUUGCACUUUCCUUGUCCUAAAGCCAAGCCCUUGCUCCAGAUUUCCUAGGCUGAGUUUCAAGCCCCAGCCCCAGUGUCAGUCAACAGGCACUGUGUGACUGUCUCUUUUUCCCAGCUCUGAACUAUUCGUUAACCCACACCUCCAAGGCCCUGUCCUGCUUCCUAUCGGCAGCAUCUAGUUUUCCUUUCCAAAGUGGUUUCUGAGAUUUUGGGCUCUUAAGGGUUAAGAGGCAGUCCCUUCCUCUCUCCAGCUGCAGCUGCAACCUACUUGGAUUUUGGGCCUGGGCCAGAUGAGGACGAGUAUUUAGAGUAAUCCUACCCUAUUCCCAGCCUGGUUCAAGUGGAGGGAACCCCUGGUAGGUAAAAAGUACAGAUUGCAAAUAGGAACAGUUCAGGCAGGUAAGUGGGAUGUGGGAGUUCAGAGUUUGCUUGGUUUAGUCGAUUUUCUAUGGUCAGUAACAAUACCACAGACUGGAUGAACUACAGAGAAAAGACAUUUAUUUUGGCCUACGAUUCUGGAGGUCUAAGGUUGAGGGGCUACCUUGAGGCAGUCCAUAGCAUCACAUGACAAGAACCACAAAGUUCUCCUCUCAUGUGUCUAUUGGUAUACAUUUUCUUAUAAAGAUACCAAUAUAAUCAUGGGGGUGGGGUGGGGCUCCACACUGAUCUGAUGACAUUGUCUAAUCUUUUGUUUAAUUUUUUAAAUUAAAUUUGAAUUCUCCCCCCGCCCUCUCUCUCUCUGUAGGUCUGAGAACAUCUUGUAGGAUUUAUGAAUCCCGGGGAUUGAACUCAGGUCAUCAGGUUUGGAUACAAGCGCCUCUACCCACUGAGCCAUCUCAGCGGCCAGCCACUGUCUAAUCCUAAUCAUUCCAAAAGUUCACAUCUCUAAGCAUUAGAGCGGGGUUGUUUUCAUCCUUUUGAUACCUCAGUCUGGGGGUUAAAUUCCGACUUGGAUUUUGAAGGAGACAAAUCAUAUUAAAAUUCUGUCUCGGGGUUGGGGAUUUAGCUCAGUGAUAGAGCGUUUGCCUAGGAAGCGCAAGGUUCGGUCCCCAGCUCCGAAAAAAAGAACUAAAAAAAAAAUUCUGUUUCAGCCCCCCUGUAAUGGUUAAUGUUGUCAGUUUGACAGGAUCUAGACUUACCGGGAGGGAUUAUCUAGAUUAGGUUAAUGAAGUAGGAGGACCUACCUAGGUGUGGGCAGCACCAUCCCCUAGGCUGGGAAUCUGGCCAGCAUAAAAUGGAGAAAGCUAGUGACACCCGCAUUCUUCUCUGUCUGCUUCCUGACUGUGGAUGCGAUGUGAGCAGCUGCCCACCCUCUUGCUACCAUGACUUCCCUGCUAUGAUGCACUGUACUCUGUACCUCUAAACUUCAACCGAGAGCCAGAGCAGACCCUUCUCUCUUCAAGUUGAUCUCGUCAGAUACAUUGUCACAGUGAUGAGAAAAGCAACCAGCUCAUCCCCAAUACUCCUUCCAAUACAAAUAUAGUAAUUAUUUCACCCUCUUCUUAAAUUGGUCUAGCAUCGAUUAAGGAGUCCAGAGUUCAAGAUCAUCUGAGACUCAAAGCAAAUGCCUUUUAGCUCUGAACCUGUGAAAUCAAACCAAUGUAUUUGCCUCCAACACACAGGGAUAGGACAGACACAAGGUUUGUACCCCCUGAGAUGGUGAGCUUGGUUGUCAACUUGACAUAGCCAGGAGUAGGGAACUUCAGCUAAGGAAUCGCCUCAGUCUUCGUGGCUUGUCGACAUGUCAGUGGAGACAUUUUCUUGAUGUUAAUUGAUGUAUGGGGGUCCAGAUCAUUGUGGCCCAUGGAUUCUUCUUGUCUGUGACAGCCUCUAGUUUGAAAUCUCUCCUGAAUGUGCUGUUUACUUUCUUCCCUGGCCAAGCUGUGAAUCUUCUAAUUGGUUUUACUCUGCGUUUCAUUUCACAGCAGAUCUGACUAUUGAGUAACCAGCAAUGCUCACACCACAGUCUGAGUGUUCGGCUGUGAAAUUUUCACUCAGUGAACUAGUGUGCUGUAUCUCUAAGCUUAACUUUCCAAAGUCGAUUUUUGUUUCUUUUUUUUUAAGGAUUUAUUUAUUAUAUAUAAGAACACUGUGGCUGUCUUCAGACACACCAGAAGAGAACACCAGAUCCCAUUACAGAUGGUUGUGAGCCACCAUGUGGUUGCUGGGAUUUGAACUCAGGACCUCUGGAAGAGCAGUCAGUGCUCUUAACCACUGAGUCAUCUCUCCAGCCCCUUUUUUCUUUUCUCUUUUUCCUUUCCUUCCCUUCCCUUCCCUUCCCUUCCCUUCCCUUCCCUUUCCUUUCCUUCUCUCCCUCCCCCAUCCCCUCUCUCUUUUGAGACAGGUCUCUCUAUGGAGUCCUGACUGUCUUGGAGGUUGCUAUGUAGAUUGGACUGGUCUUGAACUAACAGAGAUCCUUCUGCCUUAAAAGUGUGCACACCACACCCAGCUUCCACAAAGUCUUUCAGUACAGCCACAAUGCACCCACAUUCUUUUCCGUGGUAUAACAUGAGUAAACUUUAGUUCACUUUCCAGUGGCACCUCGUUUAUGACUGAGAUUAGGUCCCUGCUCUCUUUCCUGAGUCCUCACUAGAAUCACCCACAAUGCUCCAGGCUUCAUGCGAUAUUUAUACCUUUUUUUUUUUCUUUUUUUUUGGAGCUGGGGACUGAACCCAGGGCCUUGCGCUUGCUAGGCAAGCGCUCUACCACUGAGCUAAAUCCCCAACCCUGAUAUUUAUAGCUUUUAUAAAGUUUCCUCCUGCCUCCUGGAUGUUGUUCUUCCUUUCUCCCCUUUGGUGUUCCUUACCUUCCCACUCUGUAAACUUUGGAGAAGCUGGCCUCAACCUGUGAUCCUUCAUAUCCACGGCCAGGUGAGUUUAUGGCACCCAAACACGGAUUAUUCCCAAGUUUAUACUCCCAGGCUGUGUUCUCCACAGAACACCAGCUUACAGAUUUCCUCAUCUGUGGCAGCUCCCGUCUUAGGAGUGUUAUGAGGAUUAAGCGAUCCAGGCCCGUGAAGUGAUGGAGAAACACACUGCUCAAAGUGGAUACUAUGAUUUUAAAUGUUUUCUAUUAAUCUCUUUAUUUUAUUUUUUGUGGUGGUGGGAUGAAACUCGGGUCUUCACUCCUGCCAGGCAAGCGCUCCACCACUGAAGCGCACACCAAGCAGAGCUUGCUUUAUGGCGCAGCUGUUAUCACUGCUAUCACUGUUGUUGUUCCUGCCAGCCAGCUCCUUUUGGACAUCUAGAAUCAUCUCCGACAUGACUCAUCUCAAACCCCAAACUUUUGCUAUCUGCAGCACUUGUCUCUCUCAGUAGAUGACAACUGGGUCCUCCCAGGAACUUAGGACAAGAAUCUUGGAGUCAUCUUGCCUUUCCUAUUUUUUCUCUCUCACAUCCCAAAUAGAAUCCAUUAGAAAAUCCAUUAUCUCUCCCUGGCAUAUAUUCAGAGUGUGGCCACUGUGGUCUUUGCCUGUGUCACCCUGAGUGAUCUCCUCCACACUGCUUCUUGCUUCUACCCAGGUUUAUUUGUGCUUUGUUCUCAACACAGCAUCUAGAAGGUUCUUUUCUGAUAUGAGUUGAGUCAUGUUUGCUAAUGCUCUGACUUCCUGUCUUUUCCCUUUCAACCUGCAUGGCCCGUGAGCUGCCUUCUCACACCUGUUCCUCUGCUCACCUCCACCCCCUUGGUUGUUCUCAGAUGUGCCAAACGCUUUCCUGUCUGAGGACUUUCUACUACUCUUGCCUUUGCCAUAGCAAAACAUCGAUUUUUUUCUCUUUUAAAAAUAAUUAGAUAAGAAUUUCUGUCCUGUUCUCCCCAUCACCUUAAAUUUUCUUUUAUGUGCAUGGGGUUUGGUCUGCAUGAAUAUCUGCGCACCAUGUGCGUGAAGUGCCCGUGGAAGCCAGAAGAGGGCGUUAGAUUCCUGAACUGGAAUUACAGGCAGUUGUGAGUUGGGAAUGAACCCCUGGUCCUCUGGAAGAGCAGCUAGUGCGCUUAGGUGCUGAUCUCUCCCUCCACACCCAUAUUGCCAAGUUUCUACAGAUUAUGAUAGAGUUUGCACAAAACAUUGGAAGUUUGGGGGCAGUGAGCCGGCCAUACAGAGACAUCCUAGAGACCUUGUUAGGGCCAGAUUUCUAAAGUCCUUGGGGAGAUGGCUUAAUGGUAAAACUGCUUGCUGUUCAAGUGCCAAGGCCUGAGUUUGAAUCCUCAGAAUGUCUGUAAAAAUCUAGAGGCAGCAAUGCACAUUUGUAAUCCAGUGCUCCUAUGGGGAGAUGAGAGGCGGAAGCAGAAAAAUCCUUGGAAGCUCAAGGGUCAGCCAGUCUGGUUUGCACAGUGUUGAACAAGAGACUGCGUCAAACGAGGUGGAAGACUAACAUGCCAGCUUGCCCUCUUGAGGGCAGAAGACAUGCUUUUGACACAUGUCUGCCUCCAUUCAUAUACAUGAGCAUGGAUGUGUGCACAUGUGUGUGCACAUGCACGCACGCGCGCGCGCGCGCGCGCGCGCGCACACACACACACACACACACACACACACAGAGAUUAAAAAGCAAGCAAAAAGUUCUUGAAUGUCCUUGAUCUGCAGGGAAGUGUGUGUGUGCAGGGAAGGAUUGAGAGCAAAGUAAAACGAGGGACUGAAGCAGUCAUCGCAGGUGUUUUAAUGCACUGUUGAAUGUAAAAAUGGAUGCUCAAAACUAUGAUAAAAUAUGAAUUAUUUUGGGAGGCAGAGGCAGGCAGAUCUUUGUGAGUUCAAAAUCAGCCUGGUCUACAAAACAAGUCUGAGACAGCCAGGGCUCUGUUACACAAAGAAGCCCUGUUUCUAAACACACACACACACACACACACACACACACACACACACACACACUCACUCACUAACACAUACUCACACACACACUCACUAACACACACUCACUAACACACACACUCACACACACUCACUAACACACACACUCACUAACACACACACACACACACACACUAACUGAUGGGAUGAAGCCAGAGAGUUGAGUUCAAGAGUAGCAUUUCACUCACUGCACAUUGGUCUGGGCCCCAGCCUGCAGGACAGUGGCUCAAGGUCUUUUCUAGACUGGGAUAAGAGGCAGCUUGGGUGUCUGGGAGGGAUUGGCUAACCAGGGACACUAAGCAGUUUUCUAGGGAAAAAUAAGAACAGGCAGGGCUUGGAGGUUUUCAUCUGGACAGGAGCUCCUGGCCUGUGAAAUGAGUUAGUGGAUCUUGCCUCAGAGGAACCAGAAAACCCUAUAUGGAUUGGCUGGGUAAAGAGCAGGGAGACUUGUGGUAUUGGAUCCAGGCAGGGACACAUGGGCAAUGAGGCCCUCACCUGGGUCUUGGUCACUGCUAGGAUUCCUCACAGUUGCUAUGCUUGGGUGCUUCCUGAAAUGAGAGUCAGAGGUGGCACAGGGACCGGGUUCUGUUCUGGGCGGCAGUCCAUGGCCAUCCUCCAUUCCUCUUGCCCUUGAUCUCUCCAAGGCCAUCAGUACUGUUCCUACCAGAGGCAGAGAAGGAUGCAUGGGGUCGAUCUCAACAACUCUCCUAAGAUCUUCCUGGUGUGUCACCCUUACCUGUGCAGAACUCUCCGGAUAUGCAUUCCAGAAAAGCCCAGAAAUGGAUAUGCCUGAUUUUCAGGGCAAGAGCUGGCCCAGGUAUGAGGUGAUAAACUGCUCUGUGAGGCAGGACCUGGGCUGGAGGGAGGAAUUCCUGCCCCUCUCCCAUUAUUGUUUUUUGCUUCUUGGUUCCCAGACAUGUGCACCUGCUCCAGGGAGGGGAAGAAUCCCUGACUGGCUCUGCCUUAACUUUAGCCCUGUUUUCUACCUUCAUGGUCUGAUUUUAAUUUUUGAUCCCUAAGUACAGAGAUGAGUUAAUCACCUCAGGACCCUCUUAUUCACCCCCGCAGCAGCUUCCUCUUCCACACUUGCAUGUUUAUCCCGCCGUACCGUAAAGCCCAGCUGACAGUUCCUUCCCUGCUAAGUCCACGGGUGAAUUAACUGUGCACUCAUUCAGUUGCAUGUUUGUGCCCAUCGUGUACACUCGCGGGCGAUAUUAUUUCAUGCUUUCAAGCGGUAUAGGGGACAGAGAUCCUUCCUCUCACUUCUCAUUUCUCUCAGCACUGUGUUAAAGAUGUCUCCAAGACAACAUGUGUUUAUACGUGGCUGUGUCGUGGGAUACCUCAGGAUGCUUCUCUCUACAUUUCACUGAAACACUGAUAGUGAUGGAUAUUUAGCCCAGGCUGGUCUCGAACUCAUGAUCCUUCAGCAAAUCCUACCAGCAUGCGCCACCAUAACCAGCAGUGAUGGAUAUUUAGAUGAUCACUUGCACCCACAACUUCAAACACACAGCAGUGAAAGUCCCUGUAGAUAACUCCUUUGAGAUCUCUCUCUCUCUCUCUCUCUCUCUCUCUCUCUCUCUCUUUCUCUUUCUCUGUGUGUGUGUGUGUAUGCGAGUGCGAGUGUGUGUGAGCGAAUGCAAUAAGGCCUAUUGCUUUCUAGAAUGGUGGCACACCUCCCAUCCUGCUAGCCAUGCAUGUGGCAUAUGUGGAGUUACAGGGCUGUUACUCCUAUGUAGUUCUGAGCUCUCAGUUUUAUCUGGCUUUCUAAUACUUGCAUUUGAUUUGGCUAAGAAGAAAGUGGAAAGUAAGUAGUCCAUUUCCAGUUGGAGUUUGUUGUAUGACUGUUUGGUGGGGGCACAGUGACAUCAUCGUCAUCAUGUGGUUAGCUUUGUGAAUUUCCUCAUCAGUAAGACGAUUUUCCUUUUCUUUGCUCAUGGUGUGCCGGAGUUCAGGCGUUUCUUUUAUUUGAGGGAGGGUUUCAUGUUGCCUAGAAGGGCCUUGAGCUUACUAUGUAGCCAGUGAUAGCGUGAACUUCUGGUCCUCCCAACUCCACCUCCCGAGUGCCAGAAUUAUAGUUUGUGCCACCAGGAAUUGACAGUCCUGCCUCAGCUUCAGGAGGGUGCUUGUCAUCGGUCCUGCUACUGUAGCGUUUGCCCCCAUUACCCCCCCACACUUCCUUUUCUUCAAUCUUUCCCUCUUUCUUUUUUAUGACAGUCUUGCUGAUAGCCUAGGAGCCCUUGAAUUAAGGCUUUCGUGUCUCUCCUUCCUGAGGGCUAGAAUUACAGGCGUUUGCCACCAUGUCUGGCCCAAUAUGAUACUCUUUUUUUUUUAAAGAUUUAUUUAUUCAUUUAUAUAUAUAAGUACGCUGUAGCUGUCUUCAGAUACACCAGAAGAGGGCAUCGAAUCUCUUUACAGAUGGUUGUGAGCCACCAUGUGGUUGCUGGGAAUUGAACUCAGGACCUCUGGAAGAGCAGUCGGGUGCUCUUAACCGCUGAGCCAUCUCUCCAGCCCCCAAUAUGAUACUCUUAAUAGUACUUUUAUUUUUUUCGUUAAACACAUUCAGGUCAAUAAUAAUUUUAUUUUAAUUUAAUUGUUUUGAGACAGGGUGUCUCUAUGUAUCCCUGGCUGUCCUGGAACUCACUAUUGAAACCAGGCUGGCCUUGAACUCACAGAGGUGUACCUGCCUCUGAUUGCCAAGUCGUGUCCCAUGUCUCAAAAGAGAGUGGAGUUGGGACUGGUGAGAGAGCUCUGUGGUAAGAACUCUUGCUGUGGGGUUGGGGAUUUAGCUCAUUGGUAGAGCGCUUGCCUAGGAAGCGCAAGGCCCUGGGUUCGGUCCCCAGCUCCGAAAAAAAGAACAACAACAAAAAAAAAGAACUCUUGCUGCUUUUCCAGAGGACCCAAGUUUGGUUCCCCGCACCUAUAUCUAUCAGGUGGCUCACAGCCUUGUAGGUCCAGCUUCAGAGAACCCAUCAUCUGUGGUCUCAAUGGACUUCAGCACUUACACUCACACCCCCCCCCCACAUAGACAUUUAGUAACAGUAAUAGUACUAGUAACUCUUUAGUAUUGCCAUUUGAUUCUUUCCUUAUAUAGCUCAGUGCCGCCUUGAACUCCUUGGCCCAGCCCGGUCUCCUUAUCCCUACCCUUGAACACUGGGCUAAUGAGCAUAGAAGUCACAACACUUGGACACCUGGCUGGUGUUUUUGUUUUUUACUUUUCUGCUCAAAAUUGUCUCGAUGAUCUUGGUUUCUUAUUCUUCAAUGUAAAUUUUAAAUUUUAGUGUAAAAGUUUCUGAAUUCCUAAACAUAAUCCCAAGUAAAAUUCUGAUGAUAGCACAUUAAAUUUGAGGAGGAAGUCAUUCCAAAGAUGCAUAUGAAAUGUUUCCCAUCUACCAAGAUAACGUUUAUGACCAUAAGAAGAAUCUUACGGUUGUUUUUCUCUCGGGAUGGCUUGGCUAUCCUUAACUGCCUAAGUGGCAUUGAGUUUUGGGUAUCUUAGUACCCAAAACUGGGUCUAAACAGAGUAGUUCCAACUUGUUGCUAUUGCUGUUUCCAUCAUUUGGUUUUUCAAUCCAGUAUCGUUGUGUGGCUUUUUCAUUACUUUUGGUCGUUUAUUGAUUUUGUUUGACUUUAACUAGGUAAGCGAUCAGAUUCCUUCUAAAUAAUGGCAUUUUAAAGUCUUCUGUUUUAAUCCUUAAUUUUCUUGUAUUUUUUUUUUUAGGUGGAGUAUGUGUUAAGCCCCUAGUCUCAUGUCAGAUGAUUGGCCCUUCUGCUGAAGAUGUACACAGGCACUCUCACUUGGACUUUGUUUCCAUGCUCAACUGGAUGGCUCACCUCUCUCUCUCUCUCUCUCUCUCUCUCUCUCUCUCUCUCUCUCUCUCUCUCUCUCUCUCUCUCUCUCUCUGUGUGUGUGUGUAAACAUACCUGGUGCCCUAGGAGGCCAGAAGAGGGUGUCAGACUCUCAGACUCUCUUAUUCUGGAGGUACAGAAGACUGUAGUUGCUGGGAACCAUACCUUGUUCCUCUGCAAGAGUAGCCAGUGCUCUUAGCUGCUGAGCCAUCUCUCCAGGCCCCCCUUACACUAUUUUAGUGAUUUGGUGGUAGGUGGGGAUGGUGGUUCGUGCAUGUCUGCCUGCCUCCUUCUAGGAGACUCAAGUAACAGCUGAUGGAUUCUAAUAAAGACUUCAUUUGUUACAGGGCUUUUGAGUUUCUAAAUCAUAUUUGUAGAUUUAUAGGUACCUGAAUCUUUAAGCAAUGGAGGAGACUUCAGAGGUUACUGCAGGAGAGAGGACAAAGAGAAGGAUCGAUGGCUGUUUUCCAAGGAUGGCUCUGAGGGAGAACACAAAUGUCUACUCAGCGAAUUCUCGCUGUGCAGAUAAUGCUGCACGCAUCUCCUUUGUCUCCCGGUGGAGUCCUGCAAAGUCAAUGAUGUUUAGUGACAUUUGUGGGACGGACUUGCUCUCUUUUGACAAAGAGGAAGGACUAUUUGUUGCCUCAGGGCUGGUAGAGGGCAUAGCAAAAAGCUGUGGCUGGAAGACAGUCUUAUAUAAGCCACAUCCCUUCCCGAAUAAACACUUAAAGGAAAGUCUGAGAGGCGUCUUCACUCACACCAGGUGCCCUUUCAAAUGCCACCAGAGUCCUGCAUGACUCUGCAGCAGACGUCCUGCUCAGUGAGGCUGAAUUUGAGAAACUGUGUUAGGUAGCAUUUUAUGCCAGGCAGGAAUGUGGGGCUUCUCAGUAAAUGGAUUUGGAGCAAAUAAGUAACUUCGACAGAACAAAGCCAAAACAAGCAAACAAAGAACAAAGUUUCUUUUACUUUGUGCUAAAUUUCAUAUACAUAGUUACAUAGUGAUAAAACCUAAAACCUCAAAUGUGCUUUUUUUUUUUUUGAAGGAAGUGUGGGUAAAUAGUUUUGAAUUCAAGGGGAGGAGAAUUUCUUUUUGUGUUUUUGUUUUGUUUUGGGUGCUCGAACCCAGGGCCUUACAUAAAUGUUCUACCAAGUUGCCAACCCUGGAAAGGCCUUCUGAGUAUAACCUGAAACUCAGAAGGUGAAUUUAAAAAAAAAAGCUGGGCAUGACGUCACAUACCUGUAAUGGAAGCUGGAGGCAGGAAGAUUGCAAGUUUUGAAGAUUUAAAGCCCACCUGGGGUGAAUAGUGAGACACUCUUUUAAUAAGUUGGGUUGUAGCUUCCUGGUAGAACAUUUACCUAACCUUGGGUUUAACAGUCAGCCCAGAGAGAGGAGGAGGAGAAGGAAGAGGGGAAGGAGGAGAAGGAGGGGGGAGAGAAAGAGGGGAAGGAGGAAGAGGAGGAAGGAAGAAGAAACAAAGUUAAAUCGAUGUGGCUGGAGACGCAGCCCAGUGACAGUUCACUCGCUUAGUACACAGGAGGCCUUUGGUUUACUUUCCAGAAUCAGAAGAAGAAGAAAAAAAGGAAAAAAAAAAGGAAAAGGAAAGAUUCAAUUAUAUAAAGUAAUAAAAGAGCUUCUAUUUUCAAAAGAAACAAUAUAUUUAAGUGAUCAUUUUCAGCUGAACAUGGUGGCACACGCCUGUUAUUCCAGCCCUGGGAAGGAUGAAGGGGGUCCUCUAGGAGUUAUAGGCCUUGUGAGCUGCCUGACAUAGGUGCUGGGAACUGAACUUGGGUUAGAGCACUGCAGGUGGUCGGGGGUGAGGUGAGGACAUCUCCCUGAGCCCUCACCACCUCCCAGCAGAUAGGUGGCAAGGCCAGCUUUCCUGAGCUCCUGCCCUCCAGGCCAGUAUUAAAUACUUGAAAUAGAGAAUCCACUCAUGUGAAUCAUUAAGAAACAAGUUCAGGGGAAUGUGGUGUGCAAACAUAAGAGUCCCCUGUCAGGGAGGAAGAAUUGGGGUCCUGGAGACUCAGAUGGUUACAGGAAAUCCUCAUUCCCUCUUCCCUGACCAGACUUGGGGGGGUCUUGCUCUAAAACUAACCCUCGAUGAGUACUUCCCUCCUCACUGCCACAGAUCUUUCUCAUAAUUUGCUUAAAAAAUGCCUUUUGGGAUGUCUUCUCAGCCUAUUUGCUGUUUCUGAGCUCUAACUGUUCAGUCUCCCAGGACCUCUGCAGUAUUCUUAUACCAAUGCACCUGUCUCUCUUAGACACAACUGAAGACAUCUGACUCCAGGGUUGGUCUGAGUGAAUUACAUUCUUAUGAAUAUUCGAAUGUGACUCAGACAAGUAGGACUUGUAAGGACGUCUAAAGUUGGAGCUGGAUGGUCAAAUUCGUGCCAGUGUAAAAGUACAGUGGAGAAAACUAGAGAGAGGAAUGGGGAGGGGAGAGGGGGAAGAGGGGGAGAGAGAAGAAUGAGGCACUAAGAUUUGGAGGAGAAAAAGAAGUUGUAGGAGAAGGAGGGGGAGAAAGAGGAGGAGGAGAAGGAGAAGGGAGAGAAAAGCGAAGGUGAAAUUCUGCACCUGACAGGAGGAGAGUCCAGCUUCCUGGCCCCCGGGCCCCUACUUUUGCAGCCCUGAGAUAAAUAGAAAUGGGGCCCACACCCAAUAACUUAAACGGUGGUGUUCUCAUAGAAAGUGCCUUUUGAAUAACUGAUUUUAUUAUUUAUAACAGUUUUAAGGUGCCUGGCAUUGUGGUUCAUGUAAUCCCAGAACUUGAGAGGCAGAGGCAAGAGUUCGUUAUUUUUAACACACAGCAAGUUUCAAGUCAGUCUGGACCAUGGAAUCCUGUCUCAAAAACCUGAAACCAGUGUUGGGAGAUGGCUCAGGGGGUAAAGACACUUGGUAUGCAAGUCUGAGGAUCUGAGUUCAAAUUGCUAGUGUCCACAUAAAGAGGUGGACACAGGUGCCCAAUGCCCCAGAACGGGGAGGUAGAGAUAGACUGAUCCCGGGACUUUACUGGCCAGUUUGUGUAGCAGCUCUGGUUCUUUGAAAGACCCUGUCUGAAAGGAGUAAGUGCGAGUGGUAGUGGAAAGGGCCUGACACCAUCCUCUGGUCUUCAUAUGUGACCUCACACCCAGGUACCAUACUGCACAGAUACACACCACCGGAAAUAAAAUACAAGGGGAUCAAAACGUGGCUCAGUGGUUAAGAGGAUGGACUGCUCUUCCAUAGGACCCAGGUUCGAUUCUCAGCACCUACAUGGUGGCUUACUGUAACUCCAGUGUCAGGGGAGCCAACACCUUCCUCUGGCCCCCACUGGCUCUAGGCAUGCACAUGGCAUACCGUCACGCAUGCAGGCAAAACGUCGGGUCAGUACACAUAAAAUAAUAAAUCCUAAAAAAAAUAAAAAAAUGAAGCAAAACAACAACAAAACUACCAAGCAGGUAAGCAAAUAAUCCCAGGAGUAGGGAUUCAUCGCACACUCCUACCACAUACACAGCCUCUCUGUGUCAGUAUCCCACAACAGUGUGGGCUUCAUUCCUCACAAACAGUAACUGUGCUAACACGCCAGCGCUGCCAGAGCUGUAGUGUGCUUUAUGGCUCAUGCUUGGCAUUUUAUAUUCUAUAGACUCUGACAUGUGUGUAAUGGCGUGUAUUCACCCGUAUAGUGCCAGAAAGCCUAGACUCAUGGUCCCCCCAGUCUCUGUGCCCUGUCUGUUUGACUCUUCUUCCUUCCCAACCCCUGGUGAUCACUACUUCCCUUUUUUUUUCUUUUUUUUUUUUUCCAGGGCUGGGGACUGAACCCAGGGCCUUGCGCUCGCUAGGCAAGCGCUCUACCCCUGAGCUAAAUCCCCAACCCCUCACUACUCCCUUUUUAAAAAUUAAUUAAUUAAUUUUUUAUUUUCAGGAUAUCCAGGUUGCAGUUCCCCCUCUCUCCCAUUCACCCUCCCCUCUCCCCCAGAUCCAUUCCUUCUCCAUUUCCCUUCAGAAAAGAACAUAGCUUCCAGGGAUAUCCACCAACUAUGGCAUAACAAGAUACAAUAAGACUAAGCACAAACCCUCUUAUCAAGCCUGGGUGAGGCAACCCAGUAGGAGGAAAAGGGUUCUGAGAGGGUCAGAGACAACCCCAACCCCAGUGUUAGGAGUCCCACAAAAACACCAAGCUAGUGAGAUCAUGGAUCCUUUUAUUGUCUCCAUUAUUUUGCCUUUAAAAAAAGGAAUGUAAUAUAGCCAGUCAUGUCAGUCGGAUCUUUGAAUUCCAGGCUAGCCAGGGCUACCUGGUGAGGCACUGUCUCAAAAAGGAUGCCAUAUGGAAAAAGCUAUAUAUUAUGUAGUAUAUAGUGUGUGUGUGUGUGUGUGUGUGUGUGUGUGUGUGUGUGUGUGUGUACAGUGGAGAAAGAUAGAGAGAGAGAUGGGGAGGGGAGAGAGAGAGAGAGAGAGAGAGAGAGAGGGAUAGAGCGCGCUGGAGGGAGAGGGAACAGGGGAGAGAGAGAAUGAGGCACUAAGACUAGGAGGAGACAAAGGAGGCAGAGGAAAGAUGAGGAAGAGGGAGAGAAAAAUAUAGAAACAUAAUCUAGUUAUGACAAGAACUCCAUAUAUGCAUAUGUAUGUUUGUGCAUAUGUAAAUAUACACAUAUACAUGUAUAUAUGUACACUUACACAUACACAUGCAUACACAUAUACAUACAUACAUGUAUAUAUAUGGAACUAUAUAGUUCAUAGCUUUUUCAGAGUGGUUCUUUUGCUGAGUAAUAUGCAUUGAAGCUUCCUCCAUGGCUCUUCAUGGCUUGGUAGCUCAGAUCUUUUCAUCACUGAAUAAUUUUGCUGUUCUUUUAAGUCAAGAUAAGAAAAGAAUUCUCCUUCUGAAAUUAUUCCUUCUCUAGGUGCAGUCAGAUAACUCCACGGAAGGACACACCGCUACCAUUAAAUUGAAAUGAUGAAGAGACAUGCCAUUUUUUUCUAAAAUAAGAACUUGCUUUUGUGUCCUUUUGGAUAGGUUGGAAAACUGUCAUUUCGUUUGCCAAGAGACAAAAGGACAAGGCUCCCAGUACUUGGGAGGCAGAGACAGGUGGAUCUCUAUCAGCCAGGAUUGCAUAGUGAGGCCCUGUCUCAAAGAAACAACAAAGGUCCACAAAGAACGGAAAGACUGAAAGGAUCUGGAAUGAGCAGGGCAGCCUGUGUCCCCAUUAGAUGUUGCAUGUCCAGAGGAAUUUACCCUUCAAGCAAACGAUGGACUUAAUAUGUUUGGAGGGAAAUCCUUGUUUGUAAAUUUUUUUAUUGUGGGAUUUGAUUAAUUAAUUAAUUGUGUGAUGUACAUA